RNAcentral lists this ribosomal RNA (206 nucleotides) under uncultured bacterium. Its description in RNAcentral is "partial 16S ribosomal RNA". It matches the Rfam family "Bacterial small subunit ribosomal RNA", at positions 568 to 774 of the family's 1533-position model. The record is from RNAcentral.
CGCGUAGGCGGACGAGCAAGUCCGGAGUGAAAUCCUUCGGCUUAACCGGAGAAGUGCUUUGGAUACUGCUCGUCUUGAGGGAGGUAGGGGCAUGUGGAACUUCUGGUGGAGCGGUGAAAUGCGUUGAUAUCAGAAGGAACGCCGGUGGCGAAAGCGACGUGCUGGCCCUCUUCUGACGCUGAGGCGCGAAAGCUAGGGAGCAAACG